GGCUCAGAACGAACGCUGGCGGCAUGCCUAACACAUGCAAGUCGAACGAUGCUUUCGGGCAUAGUGGCGCACGGGUGCGUAACGCGUGGGAAUCUGCCCCUUGGUUCGGAAUAACAGUUAGAAAUGACUGCUAAUACCGGAUGACGACGUAAGUCCAAAGAUUUAUCGCCGAGGGAUGAGCCCGCGUAGGAUUAGCUAGUUGGUGUGGUAAAGGCGCACCAAGGCGACGAUCCUUAGCUGGUCUGAGAGGAUGAUCAGCCACACUGGGACUGAGACACGGCCCAGACUCCUACGGGAGGCAGCAGUGGGGAAUAUUGGACAAUGGGCGCAAGCCUGAUCCAGCAAUGCCGCGUGAGUGAUGAAGGCCUUAGGGUUGUAAAGCUCUUUUACCCGUGA
RNAcentral lists this ribosomal RNA (396 nucleotides) under Sphingomonas sp. IGS78. Its description in RNAcentral is "bacterial SSU rRNA". It matches the Rfam family "Bacterial small subunit ribosomal RNA", at positions 21 to 445 of the family's 1533-position model. The record is from RNAcentral. Lineage: Bacteria; Pseudomonadati; Pseudomonadota; Alphaproteobacteria; Sphingomonadales; Sphingomonadaceae.